RNAcentral lists this unclassified non-coding RNA (431 nucleotides) under soil metagenome. Its description in RNAcentral is "partial contains 5.8S ribosomal RNA, internal transcribed spacer 2, and large subunit ribosomal RNA". The stretch from base 1 to 120 matches the Rfam family "5.8S ribosomal RNA", at positions 35 to 154 of the family's 154-position model. The record is from RNAcentral.
GAUGAAGAGCGUAGCGAAAUGCGAUACGUAAUGUGAAUUGCAGAAUUCAGUGAAUCAUCGAAUCUUUGAACGCAUAUUGCGCUCUUUGGUAUUCCGAAGAGCAUGCUUGUUUGAGUAUCAGUAAACACCUCAAAAGAUUUUCAUUUUUGAAAUGAUUUUGGACUUGAGCAAUCCCAACACCAGUCUUCACGGAUCGGCGGAGGGUUGCUUGAAAUGCAGGUGCAGCUGGACAUUCUCCUGAGCUAAAAGCAUAUCUAUUUAGUCCCGUCAAACGGAUUAUUACUUUUGCUGCAGCUAACAUAAAGGGAGUUUGACCAUUUUGGCUGACUGAUGCAGGAUUUCACAAGGGUCGGUAAAACGAUUUUUGUAAAACUCGAUCUCAAAUCAAGUAAGACUACCCGCUGAACUUAAGCAUAUCAAUAAGCGGAGGA